CCUACGGGCGGCAGCAGUGGGGAAUAUUGCACAAUGGGGGGAACCCUGAUGCAGCGACGCCGCGUGGGUGAGGAAGUACUUCGGUAUGUAAAGCCCUAUCAGCAGGGAAGAAAAUGACGGUACCUGACUAAGAAGCCCCGGCUAACUACGUGCCAGCAGCCGCGGUAAUACGUAGGGGGCAAGCGUUAUCCGGAUUUACUGGGUGUAAAGGGAGCGUAGACGGCGUGCCAAGUCUGGUGUGAAAGGCCGGGGCUCAACCCCGGGACUGCAUUGGAAACUGGCAUGCUGGAGUGCCGGAGAGGUAAUCGGAAUUCCUUGUGUAGCGGUGAAAUGCGUAGAUAUAAGGAAGAACACCAGUGGCGAAGGCGGAUUACUGGACGAUAACUGACGGUGAGGCGCGAAAGCGUGGGGAGCAAACAGGAUUAGAUACCCUUGUAGUC
This 440-nucleotide ribosomal RNA is filed under the name uncultured bacterium. Its description in RNAcentral is "partial 16S ribosomal RNA". It matches the Rfam family "Bacterial small subunit ribosomal RNA", at positions 338 to 795 of the family's 1533-position model. The record is from RNAcentral.